RNAcentral lists this ribosomal RNA (318 nucleotides) under uncultured eukaryote. Its description in RNAcentral is "partial 18S ribosomal RNA". It matches the Rfam family "Eukaryotic small subunit ribosomal RNA", at positions 1470 to 1796 of the family's 1831-position model. The record is from RNAcentral.
CCCUUAGAUGUCCUGGGCCGCACGCGUGCUACACUGAUGCAUACAGCGAGUACUUUCCAGCUCCGCGAGGCAGCUGGUAAUCAGCAAUAUGCAUCGUGCUGGGGAUAGAUCUUUGGAAUUAUAGAUCUUGAACGAGGAAUUCCUAGUAAGCGCAAGUCAUUAGCUUGCGCUGAUUAAGUCCCUGCCCUUUGUACACACCGCCCGUCGCUCCUACCGAUUUCGAGUGAUUCGGUGAACCUUUUGGGCAGCGUCUGUCCUCGUGUCAGAUGCUGAAAGUCAAGUAAACCAUAUCACUUAGAGGAAGGAGAAGUCGUAACA